Molecule: transfer RNA, 65 nt
Filed under: Cestrotus liui
Lineage: Eukaryota; Metazoa; Arthropoda; Insecta; Diptera; Lauxaniidae
Description: tRNA-Leu
Source: RNAcentral
ACUAUUUUGGCAGAUUAGUGCAAUAAAUUUAGAAUUUAAUUAUGUAAUUAAAAUUACAAAUAGUA